RNAcentral lists this long non-coding RNA (1050 nucleotides) under Struthio camelus australis. RNAcentral describes it as "lncRNA (ENSSCUG00000013955.1)". Lineage: Eukaryota; Metazoa; Chordata; Aves; Struthioniformes; Struthionidae. The record is from RNAcentral.
CUUUCUUGCUCACUGAGUUUUUCUCCCCUAAAUGGGCAUGAUGUAAGUGCUGACUGUAUUGAGUCUUCGUAAUGACUUUGCUAUCUAAACUGGCAAUUAUCAAUGCCUGAAUGAGACUCAAAGGCUCGCAUGCUUUGCCCAUUGCCUGAGGCUCUUGUAACGCUUGAGGAUGCCCUGAUUAACACAGCAGCAUCCUCUCACCCGCACUCAGGCGAACGAUAGGAUGCAUGACAUUAAAACAAGGAUAAGCUGAGCGUUCCUGUUCGAACUGGGAAAGGUGUGAUGAUGGAGGGGCGAGAGAUGGUAUCUGCCGCACUGCAGACACAAGGCGUUUUUUACAACACUUUGCGGGUUUACAUCGCCAAGGUCUGGAAACAGAGUUUCAGAAAUUCUGCUUUUGCAGGAACAGGUCAAGAUCUGAGCCAGCUACGCAGGCCAAGUGAACUUUGUGCCUCUGGAGGCAAGAUGUUGCAACACUCACCGAGACAGAACAGCGCGGAUGGCAGAACAACGUUUUUUCCUCCCUUUUUUAAUCCUUGAUGACGAGGAAGAGGAUUGGACAAAAUAGAAUAUGCUACUGGGCGAAGAAACGGACAGAACAAGAAAAGCAAGUUUUACUAAACGUCUCCUCGUUAUAAGAACCUUUAUUUUUUUAUCUUUUGUCCCAGAAUCAUCAGGAAAAUAGCUAGAAUGGCACUGAAAUUCCUGAUGGGAGCAGCCUGAGAAAGGGUACUGCAGAUCCUGUACGUUUCCUGAAAGAGCGGUUUUCUGCAUUUUCCUGCUGUCGUGACUGUGUUUCCAGGUUAUCGCUCACCCCAGGCGUGUGAAGCUGCUGGUGCAGUAAGAACUCCACCCCCGUCCAGCCUUCCUGAAAUACGUCUUCGUUAUUAGGGCAGGUUUUGUAUUUGAUCAAUGAAUUUUGUUCACUGUUUGUUAUCAGUAAAUUCAUGCUUAAAAGGAACCUGUAAACUGAGGAGAAACUCCCUUCGGGAGGCAUCAUUGUGAAUUUGGCAAGUAGGUAUCUGUAUGUGACAUGAGCUGAAUAAAAAG